This 67-nucleotide transfer RNA is filed under the name Lophosaurus dilophus (Indonesian forest dragon). RNAcentral's name for it is "tRNA-Ile". Lineage: Eukaryota; Metazoa; Chordata; Lepidosauria; Squamata; Agamidae. The record is from RNAcentral.
AUGUGCCUGAAACUAAAGGGGCUGCUUUGAUAAAGCAGACAUGAGGUUAACCACACCACCAUUUCCU